GCUGGGCGUGGUGGCGUGUGCCUGUAGUCCCAGCUACUCAGGAGGCUGAGGCAGGAGAAUCGCUUGAACCUGGGAGGCGGAGGUUGCAGUGAGCUGAGAUCAUGCCACUGCACUCCCGCCUGGGCGACAGAGCGAGACUCCGUCUCAA
RNAcentral lists this non-coding RNA (148 nucleotides) under Gorilla gorilla gorilla (western lowland gorilla). The record is from Rfam by way of RNAcentral. Lineage: Eukaryota; Metazoa; Chordata; Mammalia; Primates; Hominidae.